UUUUGUACAAAAUGGUGAAGGUGUAAAUAUCGACCGGCGGACAAUUCUUUCGGAAAUCCAGUUUUACUAGCGGAAUCCUUAAGGAGAAAUGGCGCCUAAAAAAAAUUACACGCCUGCACAAAUGGCUCAGGCUAUAGAAGCGGUCGAAAGGCGAAAAAAUUACAACUGCAGCAAACAAGUAUGGUGUGCCCAGGAUUACCCUAUAUGACAAAAUUUCGGGUAAAACUCCAGUCGAGUAUUCUAUGGGUCCUAGUACCUAUUUGUCUACAGAAGCAGAAAACCUUUUAGAAAAAUGGGUAAUUGACAUGGCGGGAAAACACAUUCCCAUUACAAGAGACGAAUUGCUUGACAGUGUGCAACGCAUUAUUA
This is a long non-coding RNA of Colias croceus (clouded yellow), 369 nucleotides long. RefSeq lists it as uncharacterized. Lineage: Eukaryota; Metazoa; Arthropoda; Insecta; Lepidoptera; Pieridae. The transcript has 2 exons. The record is from RefSeq and is a predicted model, not a curated record.